Molecule: transfer RNA, 81 nt
Filed under: Sphaerodactylus townsendi
Lineage: Eukaryota; Metazoa; Chordata; Lepidosauria; Squamata; Sphaerodactylidae
Description: tRNA-Ala
Source: RNAcentral
GGAGGGACUGUGGCUGAAUGGUAGAGCAUCUGCUUGGCAUACAAAGGUCCUAGGGUUCAAUCCCCUGGCCUAGCAUCUCCA